CGAGGUGUAGUUCAGUCCGGCAGAACACUUGCUUUGGGAGCAAGGGGUCGUUGGUUCAAAUCCAGCCACCUCGA
Molecule: transfer RNA, 74 nt
Filed under: Fidelibacterota bacterium
Lineage: Bacteria; Pseudomonadati; Fidelibacterota
Description: tRNA-Pro
Rfam family: tRNA
About the family: Transfer RNA (tRNA) molecules are approximately 80 nucleotides in length.
Source: RNAcentral